RNAcentral lists this long non-coding RNA (1659 nucleotides) under Triticum aestivum (bread wheat). Its description in RNAcentral is "long non-coding RNA (TAES_LNC009744)". The record is from RNAcentral. Lineage: Eukaryota; Viridiplantae; Streptophyta; Magnoliopsida; Poales; Poaceae.
CCCUCGAUGCGGCUAUGUCUCCCACGUGUCGAGGCACGACUUAGAGACAUAGGCGCAUGGAAAGCAAUGUCGCAAGUCGGGAAUCAUUACACAACCCAUGUACAUAUAUAAUAUAAAGGGGGAAUAAUAUCAAUAGUUGGCUUACACUCGCCACGUCACAUCAAAGUACAUAAAUAACAUCCAUCAUACAAUCACUCAUGGCCCGACUACGGCACCAAAAUAGAAAAGACCCCCAACAAGCGACUAGGCCCUGAAUCUAACCCCGAAUAGGUACCACUACUGAUCAUCAGGAAAAGAAACAUAGUAUCGCUGAGAGUCCUCGUCGUACUCCCACUUCAGCUCGAGCGCGCCAUCCGGAGGAGUAUCAUCGGUCCCUGCAUCUGGUGUAAUAGUAAUCUGUGAGCCACAAAGGACUCAGCAAUCUCGCACCCUCGCGAUCAAGACUAUUUAAGCUUAAUAGGUAGGAAAGGGGUAAUGUAAGUGGAGCUGCAGCAAGCGACUAGCAUAUAUGGUGGCUAACUUAUUCGCAAAGGAGAGCGAGAAGAGAAGGCAAAGCAAGAGCGGAAACUAAAUAGAGCAGCCUACGCAAACAUAACUCCAACGCCGUGUCCACUUCCCGGACUCCGCCGAGAAGAGGCCAUCACGGCAACACACUCAGUUGAUUCAUUUUAAUUAUUUAAGUUCAAGUUAUCUACAACCGGACAUUAACAAAUUCCCAUCUGCCCAUAACCGCGGGCACGGCUUUCGAAAGAUCAAUCCCUGCAGGGGGUCCCAACUUAGCCCAUAACAAGCUCUCACGGUCAAUGAAGGAAUAGACCUCCACCCAGGACCCAUCGACCAGACUCGGUAUCCCGGUACAACAAGAUGAUUCGACAGGUCAAAACUAGUCCAGCAACACUGCCCGAAUGCGCCGACAAAUCCCGAUAGGAGCUGCACAUAUCUCGUUCUCAGGGCACACUCAGAUGAGCCAGACGUCGGGUAGGCCAGCCCAGAGUUGCCCCUGGUAGCCCCGGACAUCGCUCGGUGGGACCAACACUCAGAGGAGCACUGGCCCGUGGGGGCUAAAAUAAAGAUGACCCUCGGGCUCCGGAAACCCAAGGGAAAGAAAAGGGGUAGGUGGCAAAUGAUAAAACCAAUGUUGGGCAUUGCUGGAAAAGCUUUAAUCAAGGCGAACUAUCAAGGGGUUCCCAUUAUAGCCCAACCGCGUAAGGGACGCAACAAUCCGGGAACAUAACACCGAUAUGACGGAAACUAGGGCGGCAAGAGUGGAACAAAACACUAGGCGAGAGGCCGAGCCUUCCACCCUUUACCAAGUAUAUAGAUGAGUAAAGAUAACAUAACAAUAUAAUGAUAUCCCAACGAGUAAAUAAAUGUUCCAACAAGGAACGGCUCCAAUCUUCACCUGCAACUAGCAACGCUAUAAGAAGGGGCUUGAGCAAAGCGGUAACAUAGCCAAUCAAUGGUUUGCUAGGACAAAGGUGGGUUAGGGGCUCAAGCAUGGCAAUUGGGAGGCUGCCAAGCAAGUGGUAGGCAUCGUAGCAUUGGCAAAGCAAAAGAGCGAGCAAACUAGCAUAGCAAAGAUAGUAAUGAUUUCAAGGGUGUGAUCAUCUUGCCUGCACAGUUGUCAGAAUUGACUGGAUCCUCAAAAGCAAACUCAAC